Molecule: ribosomal RNA, 460 nt
Filed under: uncultured bacterium
Lineage: Bacteria
Description: partial 16S ribosomal RNA
Rfam family: Bacterial small subunit ribosomal RNA
Source: RNAcentral
CCUACGGGUGGCAGCAGUGAGGAAUAUUGGUCAAUGGACGAGAGUCUGAACCAGCCAAGUAGCGUGAAGGAUGACUGCCCUAUGGUUUUUAAACUUCUUUUAUAUGGAAGUACAACGUUCCACGUGAUGGAUUUUGUAUGUACCAUAUGAAUAAGGAUCGGCUAACUCCGUGCCAGCAGCCGCGGUAAUACGGAGGAUCCGAGCGUUAUCCGGAUUUAUUGGGUUUAAAGGGAUCGUAGGUGGAUUGUUAAGUCAGUUGUGAAAGUUGGCGGCUCAACCGUAAAAUUGCAGUUGAAACUGGCAGUCUUGAGUACAGUAGAGGUGGGCGGAAUUCGUGGUGUAGCGGUGAAAUGCGUAGAGAUAACGAAGAACUCCGAUUGCGAAGGCAGUUAACUGGACUGCAACUGACACUGAGGCUCGAAAGUGGGGGUAUCAAACAGGAUUAGAUACCCGAGUAGUC